This 373-nucleotide ribosomal RNA is filed under the name uncultured bacterium. RNAcentral's name for it is "partial 16S ribosomal RNA". The record is from RNAcentral.
GGUUUGUCAAGGACCUUGACCUAGUUUCCCGGGAACUUAGCAGGAAUCGGUGUGAUCAUAAAAAUGGAGGAUUUAGCCUUCCCAACCAUUCACCGUGGUCUGUGCAUAUCCCGUCUGUGGUAUCUAAGAGCCCAUUUUGUAAGGCAACCGUGGUGUUAGGCUCCCAAAUCAUAAGGGGCAUGAUGAUUUGACGUCAUCCCCACCUUCCUCCAGGUUAUCCCUGGCAGUCUCCCUAGAGUGCCCAGCUUUACCUGCUGGCUACUAAGGAUAAGGGUUGCGCUCGUUGCGGGACUUAACCCAACAUCUCACGACACGAGCUGACGACAUAAUGCACCAGCCUGUCGUCACGAGGUCCCGUUAACCGCUCUGUUCC